AGGGUUUGAUCAUGGCUCAGAACGUACGCUGGCGGCACGCCUAACACAUGCAAGUCGAACGAAGUAGCAAUACUUAGUGGCAGACGGGUGAGUAACAUGUAGGUAUCUACCCUUUGGCCUGGAAUAACACGAGGAAACUUGUGCUAAUACCGGAUAAGUCUUUACGGAGAAAGCUUUAUGCACCAUUGGAUGAGCCUGCACUUGAUUAGUUUGUUGGUAGGGUAAUGGCCUACCAAGACUUUGAUCAAUAGCUGAUUUGAGAGGAUGAUCAGCCACAUUGGGACUGAGACACGGCCCAAACUCCUACGGGAGGCAGCAGUGGGGAAUCUUGCACAAUGGAGGAAACUCUGAUGCAGCGAUGCCGCGUGAGUGAAGAAGGCCCUUGGGUUGUAAAGCUCUUUCGUCGGGGAAGAAAAUGACUGUACCCGAAUAAGAAGGUCCGGCUAACUUCGUGCCAGCAGCCGCGGUAAUACGAAGGGACCUAGCGUAGUUCGGAAUUACUGGGCUUAAAGAGUUCGUAGGUGGUUGAAAAAGUUGGUGGUGAAAUCCCAGAGCUUAACUCUGGAACUGCCAUCAAAACUUUUCAGCUAGAGUUUGAUAGAGGAAAGCAGAAUUUCUAGUGUAGAGGUGAAAUUCGUAGAUAUUAGAAAGAAUACCAAAUGCGAAGGCAGCUUUCUGGAUCAUUACUGACACUGAGGAACGAAAGCAUGGGUAGCGAAGAGGAUUAGAUACCCUCGUAGUCCAUGCCGUAAACGAUGUGUGUUAGACGUUGGAAAUUUAUUUUCAGUGUCGCAGCGAAAGCAAUAAACACACCGCCUGGGGAGUACGACCGCAAGGUUAAAACUCAAAUGAAUUGACGGGGACCCGCACAAGUAGUGGAGCAUGUGGUUUAAUUCGAAGAUACGCGCAGAACCUUACCAACACUUGACAUGUUCGUCGCGACUUUAAGAGAUUAAAGUUUUCGGUUCGGCCGGACGAAACACAGGUGCUGCAUGGCUGUCGUCAGCUCGUGUCGUGAGAUGUUGGGUUAAGUCCCGCAACGAGCGCAACCCUCACUUUUAGUUGCCAUCAUUAAGUUGGGCACUCUGAAAGAACUGCCAGUGAUAAGCUGGAGGAAGGUGGGGAUGACGUCAAGUCCUCAUGGCCCUUACGUGUUGGGCUACACACGUGCUACAAUGAUAUUUACAACAGGAAGCAAAACGGCGACGUUAAGCAAAUCCUUAAAAAAUAUCUCAGUUCGGAUUGCACUCUGCAACUCGAGUGCAUGAAGCUGGAAUUACUAGUAAUCGUGGAUCAGCGUGCCACGGUGAAUGCGUUCCCGGGUCUUGUACACACCGCCCGUCACACCAUGGGAGUUGGUUCUACCUUAAGGCAAGGUUUUAAACCCUUGACCACGGUAUAGUCAGCGACUGGGGUGAAGUCAUAACAAGGUAGCCGUA
RNAcentral lists this ribosomal RNA (1439 nucleotides) under uncultured bacterium. RNAcentral's name for it is "bacterial SSU rRNA". It matches the Rfam family "Bacterial small subunit ribosomal RNA". The record is from RNAcentral.